GGUUGAGGUAACAACUUUGGGCAUGGCCAGCUCCUAUAGUGUGAUGGGAACCAUACCAAUGCUUGACAUACCAUGAAUCCUCCUAAAGAAGAGGAGUGCCUUUAGGUAUGCAGAUACAACGGAUGCAUGGUUAUCAGUGGCUUGUGCAAUAAGGUGUUGGGUCAGUAAUGGCAAGAAGUGCAGCCCUCUAUUUAAUUGCUGUCAUCAUGUUUGGAACCCCAAACAGAUUGUCAAAGGAAGUUGAGGAUGACAUCAAGCCAUCGUGCCUCUUACACUCUAGGGGACAUUCUGUAGUGGCUGGGACAAAGGGUCACGAUCCUGCGAGGGAAAGCUAACCUUAAAAACAUGCAUCAAAUCAGAUUGCAAGCUGAAAAUUGCCUACCUGAAGCCAGAAUUGUUAGUAAUCAUUGGUUAGACAUACAGUGGGGGAUCCACUCUUGAGCC
Non-coding RNA from Picea glauca (white spruce), 444 nucleotides. The record is from Rfam. NCBI's taxonomy places the organism in Eukaryota, Viridiplantae, Streptophyta, Pinopsida, Pinales, Pinaceae.